UCUCCGUAGGUGAACCUGCGGAGGGAUCAUUACUGAGUGAGGGCUUCGGUCCGACCUCCAACCCUUUGUGAACCAAACUUGUUGCUUCGGGGGCGACCCUGCCGUUUCGACGGCGAGCGCCCCCGGAGGCCUUCAAACACUGCAUCUUUGCGUCUGAGUCUUAUAUAUGAAUUAAAUCAAAACUUUCAACAACGGAUCUCUUGGUUCUGGCAUCGAUGAAGAACGCAGC
This 229-nucleotide unclassified non-coding RNA is filed under the name uncultured fungus. RNAcentral describes it as "sequence contains ITS1, 5.8S rRNA gene". The stretch from base 181 to 229 matches the Rfam family "5.8S ribosomal RNA", at positions 1 to 49 of the family's 154-position model. Lineage: Eukaryota; Fungi. The record is from RNAcentral.